This 80-nucleotide non-coding RNA is filed under the name unclassified sequences. Its description in RNAcentral is "chrB RNA". It matches the Rfam family "chrB-a RNA". The record is from RNAcentral.
GCCAUGGGGAAAGCGAUCUCCCCACCAGGCGACAUGCCGAAGAAUCGCGUCCCGCUCUCUGCGAAGAGGACGCCCGCAUG